AGGAAUAUUGGUCAAUGGGCGCAGGCCUGAACCAGCCAAGUAGCGUGAAGGAUGACUGCCCUAUGGGUUGUAAACUUCUUUUAUAAAGGAAUAAAGUCGGGUAUGUAUACCCGUUUGCAUGUACUUUAUGAAUAAGGAUCGGCUAACUCCGUGCCAGCAGCCGCGGUAAUACGGAGGAUCCGAGCGUUAUCCGGAUUUAUUGGGUUUAAAGGGAGCGUAGAUGGAUGUUUAAGUCAGUUGUGAAAGUUUGCGGCUCAACCGUAAAAUUGCAGUUGAUACUGGAUAUCUUGAGUGCAGUUGAGGCAGGCGGAAUUCGUGGUGUAGCGGUGAAAUGCUUAGAUAUCACGAAGAACUCCGAUUGCGAAGGCAGCCUGCUAAGCUGCAACUGACAUUGAGGCUCGAAAGUGUGGGUAUCAAACAGGAUUAGAUACCCUGGUAGUCCACACGGUAAACGAUGGAUACUCGCUGUUGGCGAUAGACUGUCAGCGGCUUAGCGAAAGCGUUAAGUAUCCCACCUGGGGAGUACGCCGGCAACGGUGAAACUCAAAGGAAUUGACGGGGGCCCGCACAAGCGGAGGAACAUGUGGUUUAAUUCGAUGAUACGCGAGGAACCUUACCCGGGCUUGAAUUGCAGACGAAUUGCUUGGAAACAGGCAAGCCGCAAGGCGUCUGUGAAGGUGCUGCAUGGUUGUCGUCAGCUCGUGCCGUGAGGUGUCGGCUUAAGUGCCAUAACGAGCGCAACCCUCGUGUCCAGUUACUAGCAGGUUAUGCUGAGGACUCUGGACAGACUGCCAUCGUAAGAUGUGAGGAAGGUGGGGAUGACGUCAAAUCAGCACGGCCCUUACGUCCGGGGCUACACACGUGUUACAAUGGGGGGUACAGCAGGCAGCUACCGGGCGACCGGAUGCCAAUCCCGAAAGCCUCUCUCAGUUCGGACUGGAGUCUGCAACCCGACUCCACGAAGCUGGAUUCGCUAGUAAUCGCGCAUCAGCCACGGCGCGGUGAAUACGUUCCCG
This 1016-nucleotide ribosomal RNA is filed under the name uncultured bacterium. RNAcentral's name for it is "bacterial SSU rRNA". It matches the Rfam family "Bacterial small subunit ribosomal RNA", at positions 357 to 1376 of the family's 1533-position model. The record is from RNAcentral.